GAACGCUGGCGGCGUGGAUAAGACAUGCAAGUCGAACGGAGAAUAUGAAUAGCUUGCUAAUUGUAUUCUUAGUGGCGGACGGGUGCGUAACACGUGAGCAACCUGCUCUGAAGUGGGGGAUAGCCUUUCGAAAGGAAGAUUAAUACCGCAUGUGGUCUCCGGACCAAAGAUGGCUUCGGCUGUCGCUUCAGAAUGGGCUCGCGGCCUAUCAGCUUGUUGGUGAGGUAACGGCUCACCAAGGCGACGACGGGUAGCUGGUCUGAGAGGACGAUCAGCCACACUGGAACUGAGACACGGUCCAGACACCUACGGGUGGCAGCAGUCGAGAAUCAUUCACAAUGGGGGAAACCCUGAUGGUGCAACGCCGCGUGGAGGAUGAAGGCCCUAGGGUCGUAAACUCCUGUCAUCGGAGAGUAAGCCUUGGUCGUUAAUAGCUUCCAAGGUUGAUAGUAUCCGAAGAGGAAGGGACGGCUAACUUCGUGCCAGCAGCCGCGGUAAUACGAAGGUCCCAAGCGUUGUUCGGAAUCACUGGGCGUAAAGAGUAUGUAGGCGGUGUGGAAAGUCAGAUGUGAAAUCUCCAGGCUCAACCUGGAAACUGCAUCCGAUACUACCACACUAGAGUAAUGGAGGGGUAACUGGAAUUCUCGGUGUAGCAGUGAAAUGCGUAGAUAUCGAGAGGAACACUCGUGGCGAAGGCGAGUUACUGGACAUUUACUGACGCUGAGAUACGAAGGCCAGGGUAGCGAAAGGGAUUAGAUACCCCUGUAGUCCUGGC
Molecule: ribosomal RNA, 775 nt
Filed under: uncultured bacterium
Lineage: Bacteria
Description: bacterial SSU rRNA
Rfam family: Bacterial small subunit ribosomal RNA
Source: RNAcentral